UUUUUUUUUUUGAAUUUCUUUCUGUUGACUGACUUCAAGAACAAGGAAAUAUGAGGUGCAAAACAAAAUGGGUUUGGAUCAAAUUGUGAAAACUAUUGGUCUUUGAAGAAGAAGAAGAAGAAGAAGAAGAAGAAGAAGAAAGAAUUUUGCUUUGAAGUGUUCAAAACCCAGAUGGUGUUGAUGGAGUCACAGAGCAAUAACCAAGAAAACAUCAAGAGUAGCAGUAAAGAUCACCAUGGCCAAAAACAAGAAUCAGCAGCUUCACUGCAAUUAGUCUCUCUUGAAAACCAAUCAUCACAACUUCAACAGCAUGGGUCUACUGCUGCUACCGCCACCAUUACUAGUACUGCUCAGGGCCCAUUCAUGGGCUCCAUCUCCAACCAAAUUACUGUCCACCCUUCAACCUCCAACUCCAAUUCUGCUGCCCUCACCAAACCCACCACCAAAAGACCCUCCAAGGACCGCCACACUGGAUGGCCGUGGACGCCGCAUCCGCAUGCCGGCCUUAUGUGCUGCGAGAGUCUUUCAGCUUACCAGAGAAUUAGGCCAUAAAUCUGAUGGAGAAACAAUUGAAUGGCUCUUACAACAAGCAGAACCAGCAAUAAUUGCAGCUACUGGAACUGGUACAAUUCCUGCCAAUUUCUCAACACUAAAUGUGUCCUUACGUAGCAGUGGCACUACCAUUUCAGCGCCGGCAUCAAAAUCAGCUCCUCUUUCUUUUCAUAGCGGUCUAGCUUUCUAUGAUCCUAAAAUUGUAUUGUUGGAACCAAUAACUCUUCGAUUUUCACUUCCAUUACUGUCUACAAUGUUAGGAUUUCACCACCAGCUCUAUCCUCAAACUCUCGUUUCCGAUGAGAAUUACAUGAGAAUAAAGACCUACAGAGAAGAUCUUUUCAAAGAAACAACAGCAGCAUCAACAACCCAACAAGAAUCCACUGAACCAGUUAACCCAACUUCUAAUAAUAAGCCACCAAUAGCUGCUGCAAGAACUGGAGUUCAAGAUCAUUUUCAUCAAGAGCUGGGUUCCAUUAGACCAUCAAACAUUCU
Molecule: unclassified non-coding RNA, 1047 nt
Filed under: Hevea brasiliensis (rubber tree)
Lineage: Eukaryota; Viridiplantae; Streptophyta; Magnoliopsida; Malpighiales; Euphorbiaceae
Source: RNAcentral